Hippocampus comes (tiger tail seahorse) is the source of this 1413-nucleotide long non-coding RNA. RefSeq lists it as uncharacterized. The transcript has 4 exons. The record is from RefSeq and is a predicted model, not a curated record. Lineage: Eukaryota; Metazoa; Chordata; Actinopteri; Syngnathiformes; Syngnathidae.
UUUAUGAUGAAUGCGCUAACUUCAGUCAAUCAACCAACUCAUCGGAGUCCACUGCGUAUCAACUGAGUCCGCUAAAUUGAGUCAACCGGCGGUGUCUUUGUGUGCUCAUCAUCGGCCAGCCAGAAGAAUUGUCACAUCCUUUUCAGUAUCAUAAACUGAGAUGAUUCAAGAGCUCAUAAGAUUGUUUGACUUCUCCUUUUUUUCCCCAACAGUCUGUUCAGAGAAGUGUCUUGAAAGGAAAAGAUGCUCAAUUCAAACUGAAGACUGAAAGGUUUGACCAACAACAACUUCAGCCUCCUGGAAACAGCCCGAGUGACAGUCAACAACAAAUCCGACACUGACUGCACCGACGUGUGUAGCUAAUUUGAGUCCACCACCGCAACAGCGGGGGAACCACACCAAGAUGCGGCGCCACGCAUGAGGCAAAGGGGCAAAAAUCCCAACCUCCAAAGUAUUUCUUUCCUUCCCGUCCAAUCUCAUUUGGACCCGACAGGAUGGGAUGUUCCACAAGCUCCCAGACUUCAGCGAUGGACUCGACCAAACCUGGAGUCAAAACAGAUGAGAGCAAUGGAACCAGCAGCCCAGCAUCAGCUCAAGCAGAAGCCGCCGAUUUGACGGAACCAAAACGAGAAACAGAAGAGGCACCAGCUUCAAUCGACUGACAUUGGCCACCAGACUGUCCACAUCCUGUCCAAUGCCAAGAUGGAGAAGCUGUGACAUCAUCACCGUGUGCCUUGCCGCCCUUUUCGCAAUAGCACUUCAUGAUCCAUUCGAGAGAGCACUUUGCAUCGCCUCCGACACCACAGCCAAAAUGCCAAAAGUCAUGAAUCGAUAUGUACGCUCGGACCGAGAAACUGAGUCACAAAUGUUGUUGGCCCGCUUCAUUGGAGAAAGAGACGCCUCUCUGAAAUAAAAGUUGAAAAAAAAGUUCCGGGAUGACUGCUGCACCAUGCGCUGACUGUAACGGUUUACCGUACUUUUUUUUUUUUUUUUACAUUUAAACAAUUUGCAGAAAUACAACAGGUCAAACAACCAUUUAUUUGAUUGAAUAUGAUAUCCUGCGGCAUUGUUUACAGUAAUUCAUCUUAAAUCCAAUGACAAUCAAUUCCUGUCAAUUUCUUUCUCUUUAACCUUUCCGUGUACAGUUGCUAGAAAGUUCUGAGGCAUUUUUGAAACCCGUUAUUUUAAAUGGCAUUAAGAGCGAUCGACAAAGUGUAAUAAAAUGGCCGGAAUCAAAACACUUCUUGCCCAGGUUCUUUUAUUAACAUUGCACCACAGUCCAAACAACUGGCAAAUUAAGUGCUUUCUUCCAUUACGUGGGGUUUUCGAUUAAAAGGCCAGUGUUGAAAGUAGUUCAGCGAGCUCAGAGACCGAGUGAAAAAAUCAGGAGCCAUACCACGUGAGUUGUUGGAA